RNAcentral lists this unclassified non-coding RNA (364 nucleotides) under soil metagenome. Its description in RNAcentral is "partial contains 5.8S ribosomal RNA, internal transcribed spacer 2, and large subunit ribosomal RNA". The stretch from base 6 to 121 matches the Rfam family "5.8S ribosomal RNA", at positions 39 to 154 of the family's 154-position model. The record is from RNAcentral.
GAUGAAAGAACGCAGCGAAAUGCGAUAAGUAAUGUGAAUUGCAGAAUUCAGUGAAUCAUCGAAUCUUUGAACGCACAUUGCGCCCGCCAGUAUCCUGGCGGGCAUGCCUGCCCGAGCGUCAUUUCAACCCUCGCGCCCCCCGCGGCGCGGUGUUGGGGACCGGCCCUCACACGGCCGCCCCCCAAACGCAGUGGCGGUCCCGCCGGCGCCUCCCCCGCGUAGUAGUCACUCACCUCGCGGCCCGGGAGACCCGGCGCGGCACCGAGCCGUAAAACCCCCCGACUGAAGGCCCACGGGCCGAGAAGUUUGACCUCGGAUCAGGUAGGAAGACCCGCUGAACUUAAGCAUAUCAAUAAGCGGAGGA